AGAGUUUGAUCAUGGCUCAGGAUGAACGCUAGCUACAGGCUUAACACAUGCAAGUCGCGGGGUAACAUCUGGUAGAGCUUGCUCUUCCAGGAUGACGACCGGCGCACGGGUGAGUAACGCGUAUCCAACCUGGCCCAUACCACGGGAUAGCCCGUCGAAAGGCGGAUUAAUACCGUAUGCUGUCAUUAAGAUGCAUAUAUUGAUGACGAAAGGACUGGCGGUAUGGGAUGGGGAUGCGUCUGAUUAGCUUGUUGGCGGGGUAACGGCCCACCAAGGCGACGAUCAGUAGGGGUUCUGAGAGGAAGGUCCCCCACAUUGGAACUGAGACACGGUCCAAACUCCUACGGGAGGCAGCAGUGAGGAAUAUUGGUCAAUGGGCGCAAGCCUGAACCAGCCAAGUAGCGUGAGGGAAGACUGCCCUACGGGUUGUAAACCUCUUUUGUUUGGGAAUAAAGUGCGGGACGUGUCCCGCAUUGCAUGUACCAUUUGAAUAAGGACCGGCUAAUUCCGUGCCAGCAGCCGCGGUAAUACGGAAGGUCCGGGCGUUAUCCGGAUUUAUUGGGUUUAAAGGGAGCGCAGGCCGUGGGUUAAGCGUGUCGUGAAAUUCCGUCGCUCAACGGCGGACGUGCGGCGCGAACUGGUCCACUUGAGUACGCGGGACGUUGGCGGAAUUCGUGGUGUAGCGGUGAAAUGCUUAGAUAUCACGAAGAACUCCGAUUGCGAAGGCAGCUGACGGUAGCGCAACUGACGCUGAGGCUCGAAAGUGCGGGUAUCGAACAGGAUUAGAUACCCUGGUAGUCCGCACGGUAAACGAUGGAUGCCCGCUAUUCGCCCACCUGGGCGAGUGGCC
This 850-nucleotide ribosomal RNA is filed under the name uncultured bacterium. RNAcentral describes it as "bacterial SSU rRNA". It matches the Rfam family "Bacterial small subunit ribosomal RNA", at positions 8 to 848 of the family's 1533-position model. The record is from RNAcentral.